GACUUUGCUCAGGGGGCAAUGUACAGGUUCUCUCUCCUGCCCUGGAGUUGGAGCUUCCGGGCUCCUUCUAUCACGCUUCCAUUAGCCAAGAGGCCGCAAAUCUGUAUAACAGGAGCCUGGAAAUAAGGAAAUCACAAGCAGCCAUCCUCGCCGCGGCGUCUCUGUCCCUCUCCCUAAGGCCUGCACCGCCCUCUUAGGUACCACGGAUUUAUGUUCGUUUGUCCGGGUCAUUCUGCCUUUUUGUGUUAAUUACGCGCUGCCUGCUUCGUGCUUAUCACCUCCGCAAAGCGAUUCUUUUCGACGCCCGCCCUCUUGAGCCUCCCGAGCCUGCUGCCAGCGCGAGGGCCCAUCUCCCGCCACCACUCACGAUUUAUUUACACCUCGCAGAGACACUGUACGAGAGAACUGCCGCGAUCUUCCCCCCUAUUCAGGUGCAUUUCUGGGCUGGGAACACCUCCGCACAUUCAGAUGCACUUCCCGAAGCUCCCGCGACCACCUGCCCACGGCGCGCACCCUAAAAUCCUCGAUCCUCUUACCCUGCUGCUGCUUCCGAACAGCCUAUUCCGCCGCCGCCCGCAGGACUUUGGGGUGGGACUCUGACUUCUCCCGGUUGUUGGUCCCCUGGUUUGUAGCCCAUCCCUCUCUCACGAGCGCUCUCUCCACCUCUCCCUCCCAGCCAGUGAGGUCCUGUUUUCCGUGGGCCAUAGACAAAACAUUCCUAUAAU
Molecule: long non-coding RNA, 725 nt
Organism: Pteropus alecto (black flying fox)
Lineage: Eukaryota; Metazoa; Chordata; Mammalia; Chiroptera; Pteropodidae
Exons: 3
Source: RefSeq, a predicted model, not a curated record